Molecule: ribosomal RNA, 452 nt
Filed under: uncultured Flavobacterium sp.
Lineage: Bacteria; Pseudomonadati; Bacteroidota; Flavobacteriia; Flavobacteriales; Flavobacteriaceae
Description: bacterial SSU rRNA
Rfam family: Bacterial small subunit ribosomal RNA
Source: RNAcentral
GGGCUGCAGUGAGGAAUAUUGGACAAUGGGCGCAAGCCUGAUCCAGCCAUGCCGCGUGCAGGAAGACGGUCCUAUGGAUUGUAAACUGCUUUUAUACAGGAAGAAACACCCCGACGUGUCGGGACUUGACGGUACUGUAGGAAUAAGGAUCGGCUAACUCCGUGCCAGCAGCCGCGGUAAUACGGAGGAUCCAAGCGUUAUCCGGAAUCAUUGGGUUUAAAGGGUCCGUAGGCGGGCUUAUAAGUCAGUGGUGAAAUCUCCCAGCUCAACUGGGAAACUGCCAUUGAUACUGUAGGUCUUGAAUUAUUAGGAAGUAACUAGAAUAUGUAGUGUAGCGGUGAAAUGCUUAGAUAUUACAUGGAAUACCAAUUGCGAAGGCAGGUUACUACUAAUAUAUUGACGCUGAUGGACGAAAGCGUGGGUAGCGAACAGGAUUAGAUACCCGGGUAGUC